CUGGCGGCGUGCUUAACACAUGCAAGUCGAACGAAGCAGCAGUGAAGGAGGCUUCGGCCAAUGGAUCUGUUGACUUAGUGGCGGACGGUGAGUAACGCGUGAGCAACCUGCCUUUCAGAGGGGGAUAACGUUUGGAAACGAACGCUAAUACCGCAUGACAUAGUGGUGUCGCAUGGCACUGUUAUCAAAGGAGCAAUCCGCUGAAAGAUGGGCUCGCGUCCGAUUAGAUAGUUGGUGGGGUAACGGCCUACCAAGUCGACGAUCGGUAGCCGGACUGAGAGGUUGAACGGCCACAUUGGGACUGAGACACGGCCCAGACUCCUACGGGAGGCAGCAGUGGGGAAUAUUGCACAAUGGGCGAAAGCCUGAUUGCAGCAACGCCGCGUGAGGGAAGACGGUUUUCGGAUUGUAAACCUCUGUCCUUGGUGAAGAUAAUGACGGUAGCCGAGGAGGAAGCCACGGCUAACUACGUGCCAGCAGCCGC
This 484-nucleotide ribosomal RNA is filed under the name uncultured bacterium. RNAcentral describes it as "bacterial SSU rRNA". It matches the Rfam family "Bacterial small subunit ribosomal RNA", at positions 36 to 518 of the family's 1533-position model. The record is from RNAcentral.